This is a non-coding RNA of Triticum aestivum (bread wheat), 72 nucleotides long. The record is from Rfam. NCBI's taxonomy places the organism in Eukaryota, Viridiplantae, Streptophyta, Magnoliopsida, Poales, Poaceae.
GCCUUUUUAACUCGGUGGUAGAGUAAUGCCAUGGUAAGGCAUAAGUCAUCGGUUCAAAUCCGAUAAAGGGCU